AUCGCUUCUCAGCCUUUUGGCUAAGAUCAUGUGUAGUAUCUGUUCUUAUCAGUUUAAAUAUUAGAAAACCUGGUCUCAUAUCUUAUAAUCCAGUGGAGAGAUGAAAGAAAUAUAAAACAUGUUUUUAAAAAGUCAAACAAAACAUUU
This 147-nucleotide small nuclear RNA is filed under the name Myotis davidii. RNAcentral's name for it is "U2 spliceosomal RNA". It matches the Rfam family "U2 spliceosomal RNA". Rfam says of the family: U2 is a small nuclear RNA (snRNA) component of the spliceosome (involved in pre-mRNA splicing). Complementary binding between U2 snRNA (in an area lying towards the 5' end but 3' to hairpin I) and the branchpoint sequence (BPS) of the intron results the bulging out of an unpaired adenosine, on the BPS, which initiates a nucleophilic attack at the intronic 5' splice site, thus starting the first of two transesterification reactions that mediate splicing. Lineage: Eukaryota; Metazoa; Chordata; Mammalia; Chiroptera; Vespertilionidae. The record is from Rfam by way of RNAcentral.